This 421-nucleotide ribosomal RNA is filed under the name uncultured bacterium. RNAcentral describes it as "bacterial SSU rRNA". It matches the Rfam family "Bacterial small subunit ribosomal RNA", at positions 30 to 452 of the family's 1533-position model. The record is from RNAcentral.
AUUGAACGCUGGCGGCAUGCCUUACACAUGCAAGUCGAACGGCAGCGGGCCUUCGGGUGCCGGCGAGUGGCGAACGGGUGAGUAAUGCAUCGGAACGUGCCAUUGAGUGGGGGGAUAACGUAGCGAAAGUUACGCUAAUACCGCAUAUUCUGUGAGCAGGAAAGCAGGGGACCGCAAGGCCUUGCGCUCUUUGAGCGGCCGAUGUCAGAUUAGCUAGUUGGUGAGGUAAAGGCUUACCAAGGCGACGAUCUGUAGCGGGUCUGAGAGGAUGAUCCGCCACACUGGAACUGAGACACGGUCCAGACUCCUACGGGAGGCAGCAGUGGGGAAUUUUGGACAAUGGGCGCAAGCCUGAUCCAGCCAUGCCGCGUGAGUGAAGAAGGCCUCGGUUGUAAGGACUCUUUCGGUCCGGGAACGGAAA